GAAUCCCGUCUUUGACACGGACUGCCUGUACAUUAUGGUGUGCUCUCGAAGAGUCGAGUUGUUUGGGAAUGCAGCUCAAAAUGGGUGGUAAAUGCCAUCUAAAGCUAAAUAUUGGCGAGAGACCGAUAGCGAACAAGUACCGUGAGGGAAAGAUGAAAAGAACUUUGGAAAGAGAGUUAAACAGUACGUGAAAUUGCUGAAAGGGAAACGCUUGAAGUCAGUCGCGUUGGCUAGAAAUCAACCUUGCUUUUGCUUUGUGUACUUUCUGGUUGACGGGUCAGCAUCAAUUUUGACCACUGGAUAAAGUCUUUGGGAAUGUGGCAUCUUCGGAUGUGUUAUAGCCCUUGGUCGCAUACAACGAUUGGGAUUGAGGAACUCAGCACGCCGCAAGGCCGGGUACUUGUACCACGUUCGUGCUUAGGAUGUUGGCAUAAUGGCUUUAAUCGACCCGUCUUGAAACACGGACCAAGGAGUCUAACAUGCCUGCGAGUGUUUGGGUGGAAAACCCGGACGCGUAAUGAAAGUGAAAGUUGAGAUCCCUGUCGCGGGGAGCAUCGACGCCCGGACCAGACCUUCUGUGACGGAUCCGCGGUAGAGCAUGUAUGUUGGGACCCGAAAGAUGGUGAACUAUGCCUGAAUAGGGUGAAGCCAGAGGAAACUCUGGUGGAGGCUCGUAGCGAUUCUGACGUGCAAAUCGAUCGUCAAAUUUGGGUAUAGGGGCGAAAGACUAAUCGAACCAUCUAGUAGCUGGUUCCUGCC
RNAcentral lists this ribosomal RNA (759 nucleotides) under uncultured Inocybe. RNAcentral describes it as "partial 28S ribosomal RNA". It matches the Rfam family "Eukaryotic large subunit ribosomal RNA", at positions 216 to 962 of the family's 3401-position model. Lineage: Eukaryota; Fungi; Basidiomycota; Agaricomycetes; Agaricales; Cortinariaceae. The record is from RNAcentral.